This 397-nucleotide ribosomal RNA is filed under the name uncultured bacterium. Its description in RNAcentral is "bacterial SSU rRNA". It matches the Rfam family "Bacterial small subunit ribosomal RNA", at positions 362 to 776 of the family's 1533-position model. The record is from RNAcentral.
UAUUGCUCAAUGGGGGAAACCCUGCAGCAGCAACGCCGCGUGGAGGAUGAAGGUUUUAGGAUUGUAAACCCCUUUUGUUAGAGAAGAUUAUGACGGUAUCUAACGAAUAAGCAACGGCUAACUCCGUGCCAGCAGCCGCGGUAAUACGGAGGGUGCAAGCGUUACUCGGAAUCACUGGGCGUAAAGAGUGCGUAGGCGGGGUAAUAAGUCAGAUGUGAAAUCCUGUAGCUUAACUACAGAACUGCAUGUGAAACUGUUACUCUGGAGUGUGGGAGAGGUAGGUGGAAUUCUUGGUGUAGGGGUAAAAUCCGUAGAGAUCAAGAGGAAUACUCAUUGCGAAGGCGACCUGCUGGAACAUUACUGACGCUGAUGCACGAAAGCGUGGGGAGCAAACAGG